This is a long non-coding RNA of Zea mays, 1280 nucleotides long. RefSeq annotates it as MIR164bHG. The transcript has 2 exons. Lineage: Eukaryota; Viridiplantae; Streptophyta; Magnoliopsida; Poales; Poaceae. The record is from RefSeq and is marked validated.
GGAAGAAGGUGAAUUCGAGAAUUGCGAAGCUGAGUGCAGACGUCCGAUCCCCGAUCCAUGGCUCCUUUUCUGGCACUUGAGAGAUGUGUGUGUGGUAGACGGUGGCUGUGCGUGGUGGAGAAGCAGGGCACGUGCAUUACCAUCCAAUGCCGCCGGGUGGGUGGGUGGAAUGGAUGGAUGGUUCUUGAUGUGCCCAUCUUCUCCACCGAGCACGAACUGUCUUGGAUCCGCGCGCGCGUGCCGUACAUACCUCGUCAUGCAGGAGUUCAGGUGCUGCCUAAUCCUCGGCGGCCCUCACCGCGCCACCGGCGUCUCGCGUCGUCGCUGCCGAUCGAUCGAUCGUCCAGCCCGCCGCCAGUUGAGUUCCGAACCCCGAUGCUUAUAGCCUCCCAUCCCUGGUUAGCAAGCAUCGUGUGUAUCUUGCAUCUCAGACUUGCUUCCUCUUCAUCAUUCAUUCAUUCAUACUCAAGCAUUAAUUAUUCAGGACCAAGCAAGCGGUAGAAUUCAAAUUCAAUUCGCACAACCCUUUGCUUGUCAGCUAGCUUACCUUGUGUAUUGGAUUUGAAUACAUGCUGGUAAUCCAUCUAAUAAGAAAGCGCUGUGUGGCGCUACCUGUCCGUAGUAUGGCCGCGCCGACUGUCUGUCGGCUGGCAUGGCAUGAUAUACAUUCUAGUUAUCUUGAACCAAAGGCGACUGUCCGUAGAGUUGCUUGCUCUUGCUUCAGCAGGUGGGAAUGGCGCCGUGCACUUGGGUUCGCCUGUCUCAGUUACCAGAGGAGCCUAAUCCCAUCGUCGCUCGUACGUCGCUCGGAUGUCGGCAUCAACGACCAGCGCGGCAGCCAGCAUGCACAGGCGCGCCGAGAAUGAUCAGGGGGUGCCGUCUCUAUCCUUCAUUCAGCGAUUCGCUUUCUGAAAAGAACAUUGCACAAAAACAGCAAGAUGGCUCUGGGUGCGGAUGAAUGCUAGCUCCAUGUUCCGUCACUUUUUGUUUGUGCGGUUCUUCACUGACUUUGAGUCUAGUCUUGGCGUUCUAACUAAAGACCGUCAUGUUGCGAGUAUACAUGCAGGUGUUAGAGUAGCCGUUCCUCGUGCAUGCCUUGCAUAUUGCUCAUCAUAUUAAUAAUGAUCUGUCGUCACCCAUCUUCAUCUCAACUGUAGAAGAUGCGAGCUGAGAUCGGCCAUGGAUCCUGCAUAUUAUUCAUCCAGGGCCAAAUUUUCUUGUUCUCUGUGUGGGUUUCGUUUUUUUUUCAUGUGAAUGAAAUCCCUUAUUUCAUGAAGCAA